GCGUAAGCGCACGCAGGCGGUCUGUCAAGUCGGAUGUGAAAUCCCCGGGCUCAACCUGGGAACUGCAUUCGAAACUGGCAGGCUAGAGUCUUGUAGAGGGGGGUAGAAUUCCAGGUGUAGCGGUGAAAUGCGUAGAGAUCUGGAGGAAUACCGGUGGCGAAGGCGGCCCCCUGGACAAAGACUGACGCUCAGGUGCGAAAGCGUGGGGAGCAAACAGGAUUAGAUACCCUGGUAGUCCA
Molecule: ribosomal RNA, 239 nt
Filed under: uncultured Enterobacter sp.
Lineage: Bacteria; Pseudomonadati; Pseudomonadota; Gammaproteobacteria; Enterobacterales; Enterobacteriaceae
Description: partial 16S ribosomal RNA
Rfam family: Bacterial small subunit ribosomal RNA
Source: RNAcentral